RNAcentral lists this ribosomal RNA (301 nucleotides) under uncultured bacterium. Its description in RNAcentral is "partial 16S ribosomal RNA". It matches the Rfam family "Bacterial small subunit ribosomal RNA", at positions 509 to 807 of the family's 1533-position model. The record is from RNAcentral.
CAGUAGCCACGGUAAUACAGAGGGUGCGAGCGUUAAUCGGAAUUACUGGGCGUAAAGCGCACGCAGGCGGUCUGACAAGUCAGAUGUGAAAUCCCCGGGCUUAACCUGGGAACUGCAUUUGAAACUGUCAGGCUGGAGUCUUGUAGAGGGGGGUAGAAUUCCAGGUGUAGCGGUGAAAUGCGUAGAGAUCUGGAGGAAUACCGGUGGCGAAGGCGGCCCCCUGGACAAAGACUGACGCUCAGGUGCGAAAGCGUGGGGAGCAAACAGGAUUAGAUACCCCAGUAGUCCCUGUCUCUUAUAC